Molecule: transfer RNA, 75 nt
Filed under: Candidatus Roizmanbacteria bacterium RIFCSPLOWO2_01_FULL_44_13
Lineage: Bacteria; Candidatus Roizmaniibacteriota
Description: tRNA-Ala
Rfam family: tRNA
About the family: Transfer RNA (tRNA) molecules are approximately 80 nucleotides in length.
Source: RNAcentral
GGGCCGGUGGCGCAAUGGCAGCGCGCCGCAUUCGCAUUGCGGAGGUUGGGAGUUCAAGUCUCCUCCGGUCCACAA